This 273-nucleotide ribosomal RNA is filed under the name uncultured prokaryote. RNAcentral's name for it is "partial 16S ribosomal RNA". It matches the Rfam family "Bacterial small subunit ribosomal RNA", at positions 524 to 798 of the family's 1533-position model. The record is from RNAcentral.
UACGUAGGGGCUAGCGUUAUCCGGAUUUACUGGGCGUAAAGGGUGCGUAGGCAGUCUUUCAAGUCAGGGGUGAAAGGCUACGGCUCAACCAUAGUAAGCUCUUGAAACUGUAAGACUUGAGUGCAGGAGAGGAGAGUGGAAUUCCUAGUGUAGCGGUGAAAUGCGUAGAUAUUAGGAGGAACACCAGUUGCGAAGGCGGCUCUCUGGACUGUAACUGACGCUGAGGCACGAAAGCGUGGGGAGCAAACAGGAUUAGAUACCCCGGUAGUCCCU